RNAcentral lists this ribosomal RNA (617 nucleotides) under Cryptococcus sp. MYf165. RNAcentral describes it as "eukaryotic LSU rRNA". The stretch from base 189 to 342 matches the Rfam family "5.8S ribosomal RNA". The record is from RNAcentral. Lineage: Eukaryota; Fungi; Basidiomycota; Tremellomycetes; Tremellales; Cryptococcaceae.
UGAACCUGCGGAGGAUAUUAGUGAAUUAAACAUGCUUGGUGUCUUCGCUUCGGCAAGGCCCUUGCUUAAAUCACAUCCUAACACCUGUGAACUGUAAGACGUAUGAUGAGGUCUUUGGCCAAGUCAUCGUCUGCCCAUUUUUAACAAACAAUUAAUGUAACAAACGUAGUCUUAUUAUAACCUAAUAAAACUUUCAACAACGGAUCUCUUGGCUCUCGCAUCGAUGAAGAACGCAGCGAAAUGCGAUAAGUAAUGUGAAUUGCAGAAUUCAGUGAAUCAUCGAAUCUUUGAACGCACCUUGCGCUCUUUGGUAUUCCGAAGAGCAUGCCUGUUUGAGUGUCAUGAAAAUAUCAACCUUGACUUGGGUUUUGUGCUCUAGUCUUGGCUUGGAAUUGGGUGCUUGCCGCUUUUACGAGCGGCUCACCUUAAAUGUAUUAGCUGGAUCUGUCUUUGAGACUUGGUUUGACUUGGCGUAAUAAGUAUUUCGCUAAGGACAUUCUUCGGAGUGGCCUCGUUUCUAGGACGCUUGUCCGCUUCCCAAUACAAGUUCCACCUCGUGGACAUGACUUUUUUUAUUAUCUGGCCUCAAAUCAGGUAGGACUACCCGCUGAACUUAA